AGAGUUUGAUCCUGGCUCAGGAUGAACGCUGGCGGCGUGCCUAAUACAUGCAAGUCGAGCGAACGGACGAGAAGCUUGCUUCUCUGAUGUUAGCGGCGGACGGGUGAGUAACACGUGGAUAACCUACCUAUAAGACUGGGAUAACUUCGGGAAACCGGAGCUAAUACCGGAUAAUAUUUUGAACCGCAUGGUUCAAAAGUGAAAGACGGUCUUGCUGUCACUUAUAGAUGGAUCCGCGCUGCAUUAGCUAGUUGGUAAGGUGACGGCUUACCAAGGCAACGAUGCAUAGCCGACCUGAGAGGGUGAUCGGCCACACUGGAACUGAGACACGGUCCAGACUCCUACGGGAGGCAGCAGUAGGGAAUCUUCCGCAAUGGGCGAAAGCCUGACGGAGCAACGCCGCGUGAGUGAUGAAGGGUUUCGGCUCGUAAAACUCUGUUAUUAGGGAAGAACAAAUGUGUAAGUAACUGUGCACAUCUUGACGGUACCUAAUCAGAAAGCCACGGCUAACUACGUGCCAGCAGCCGCGGUAAUACGUAGGUGGCAAGCGUUAUCCGGAAUUAUUGGGCGUAAAGCGCGCGUAGGCGGUUUUUUAAGUCUGAUGUGAAAGCCCACGGCUCAACCGUGGAGGGUCAUUGGAAACUGGAAAACUUGAGUGCAGAAGAGGAAAGUGGAAUUCCAUGUGUAGCGGUGAAAUGCGCAGAGAUAUGGAGGAACACCAGUGGCGAAGGCGACUUUCUGGUCUGUAACUGACGCUGAUGUGCGAAAGCGUGGGGAUCAAACAGGAUUAGAUACCCUGGUAGUCCACGCCGUAAACGAUGAGUGCUAAGUGUUAGGGGGUUUCCGCCCCUUAGUGCUGCAGCUAACGCAUUAAGCACUCCGCCUGGGGAGUACGACCGCAAGGUUGAAACUCAAAGGAAUUGACGGGGACCCGCACAAGCGGUGGAGCAUGUGGUUUAAUUCGAAGCAACGCGAAGAACCUUACCAAAUCUUGACAUCCUUUGA
Molecule: ribosomal RNA, 1005 nt
Filed under: Staphylococcus aureus C1842
Lineage: Bacteria; Bacillati; Bacillota; Bacilli; Caryophanales; Staphylococcaceae
Description: bacterial SSU rRNA
Rfam family: Bacterial small subunit ribosomal RNA
Source: RNAcentral